Molecule: transfer RNA, 74 nt
Filed under: Vallitalea sp.
Lineage: Bacteria; Bacillati; Bacillota; Clostridia; Lachnospirales; Vallitaleaceae
Also listed under: 1 other name
Description: tRNA-Arg
Rfam family: tRNA
About the family: Transfer RNA (tRNA) molecules are approximately 80 nucleotides in length.
Source: RNAcentral
GUUUCCGUAGCUCAGCAGGAUAGAGCGACCGCCUCCUAAGCGGUAGGCCGUGGGUUCGACUCCCGCCGGGAACA